ACAUUUCUAGCUUGCUAGAAGAUGACGAGCGGCGGACGGGUGAGUAAUGCUUGGGAAUAUGCCUUAGGGUGGGGGACAACAGUUGGAAACGACUGCUAAUACCGCAUAACGUCUACGGACCAAAGGGGGCUUCGGCUCUCGCCCUUAGAUUAGCCCAAGUGGGAUUAGCUAGUUGGUGAGGUAAUGGCUCACCAAGGCGACGAUCCCUAGCUGGUUUGAGAGGAUGAUCAGCCACACCGGAACUGAGACACGGUCCAGACUCCUACGGGAGGCAGCAGUGGGGAAUAUUGCACAAUGGGCGCAAGCCUGAUGCAGCCAUGCCGCGUGUGUGAAGAAGGCCUUAGGGUUGUAAAGCACUUUCAGUAAGGAGGAAAGGUUAGUAGUUAAUACCUGCUAUCUGUGACGUUACUUACAGAAGAAGCACCGGCUAACUCCGUGCCAGCAGCCGCGGUAAUACGGGGGGUGCGAGCGUUAAUCGGAAUUACUGGGCGUAAAGCGUACGCAGGCGGUUUGUUAAGCGAGAUGUGAAAGCCCCGGGCUCAACCCGGGAACUGCAUUUCGAACUGGCAAACUAGAGUAUGAUAGAGGGUGGUAG
Molecule: ribosomal RNA, 595 nt
Filed under: uncultured bacterium
Lineage: Bacteria
Description: bacterial SSU rRNA
Rfam family: Bacterial small subunit ribosomal RNA
Source: RNAcentral